UCUUGGUCUUAGAUAUUUCUAAAAUGCUUUGUAGUCCCCGCGUAACACUUAUCAAUCUGCUAUGGGAAAGCARGGCWAUGGGAUUCCUUAGUAACUGCGAGUGAAGUGGAAAAAGCUCAAAUUUAAAAUCUGGUGGUCUCUUUGGCCAUCCGAGUUGUAAUCUACAGAAGUGUUAUCUGUCCUGGACCAUGUACAAGUCUCCUGGAAUGGAGCGUCAUAGAGGGUGAGAAUCCCGUCUUUGACAUGGACUACCAGGACUUUUUGUGGUGCACUUUCAAAGAGUCGAGUUGUUUGGGAAUGCAGCUCUAAAUGGGUGGUAAAUUCCAUCUAAAGCUAAAUAUUGGCAAGAGACCGAUAGUGAACAAGUACCGUGAGGGAAAGAUGAAAAGAACUUUGGAAAGAGAGUUAAACAGUACGUGAAAUUGUUGAAAGGGAAACGCUUGAAGUCAGUCAUGUCAACACAGGGGUCAACCUUGCUUAUUUGCUUGGUGCACUCUCUGAUUGACAGGUCAGCAUCAAUUUUGAUCAGUGGACAAAGAUUGAGGGAAUGUAGCAUCUUUUAAUAAGAUGUGUUAUAGCCUUUGGUUGUAUACAUUGGUUGAGAUUGAGGAAUUCAGCAUGCCGCAAGGUCAGGUUUUUUAAUAAACCAUGUUUUCAUGCUUAGGAUAGCUGGCAUAAUGGCUUUAAUCGACCCGUCUUGAAACACGGACCAAGGAGUCUAACAUGCCUGCGAGUGUUUGGGUGGAAAACCCAAGUGCAUAAUGAAAGUGAAAGUUGGGAUCCCUAUCUUGGGAGCACUGAUGCCCAGACCGGACCUUUAGUGAUGGAUCUGCGGUAGAGCAUGUAUGUUGGGACCCGAAAGAUGGUGAACUAUGCCUGAAUAGGGUGAAGCCAGAGGAAACUCUGGUGGAGGCUCGUAGCGAUUCUGACGUGCAAAUCGAUCGUCAAAUUUGGGUAUAGGGGCGAAAGACUAAUCGAACCAUCUAGUAGCUGGUUCCUGCCGAAGUUUCCCUCAGGAUAGCAGAAACUCAUAUUAGAUUUAUGUGGUAAAGCGAAUCAGCAGU
This 1064-nucleotide ribosomal RNA is filed under the name Entoloma madidum. Its description in RNAcentral is "eukaryotic LSU rRNA". It matches the Rfam family "Eukaryotic large subunit ribosomal RNA", at positions 1 to 1025 of the family's 3401-position model. The record is from RNAcentral. Lineage: Eukaryota; Fungi; Basidiomycota; Agaricomycetes; Agaricales; Entolomataceae.